RNAcentral lists this ribosomal RNA (493 nucleotides) under uncultured bacterium. RNAcentral describes it as "partial 16S ribosomal RNA". It matches the Rfam family "Bacterial small subunit ribosomal RNA", at positions 29 to 507 of the family's 1533-position model. The record is from RNAcentral.
ACGAACGCUGGCGGCGUGCUUAACCCAUGCAAGUCGAACGGUGAAGCGCCUUCCUUUUUGGUGGGUGUGGAUGAGUGGCGAACGGGUGAGUAACACGUGAGUAACCUGCCCCCUUCUUCUGGAUAACCGCAUGAAAGUGUGGCUAAUACGGGAUAUUCUGGGUCUGUCGCAUGAUGGGUCUGGGAAAGAUAUUGUUUCGGUGGGGGAUGGGCUCGCGGCCUAUCAGCUUGUUGGUGGGGUGAUGGCCUACCAAGGCGGUGACGGGUAGCCGGCCUGAGAGGGUGGACGGUCACACUGGGACGGAGACACGGCCCAGACUCCUACGGGAGGCAGCAGUGGGGAAUAUUGCACAAUGGGCGCAAGCCUGAUGCAGCGACGCCGCGUGAGGGAUGGAGGCCUUCGGGUUGUGAACCUCUUUCGCCAGUGAAGCAGGCCUGCCUCGUUUGUGGGUGGGUUGACGGUAGCUUGAUAAGAAGCGCCGGCUAACUACGUG